Molecule: ribosomal RNA, 497 nt
Filed under: uncultured bacterium
Lineage: Bacteria
Description: partial 16S ribosomal RNA
Rfam family: Bacterial small subunit ribosomal RNA
Source: RNAcentral
GAUGAACGCUGGCGGCGUGCCUAAUACAUGCCAGUCGAGCGAACAGACGAGGAGCUUGCUCCUCUGACGUUAGCGGCGGACGGGUGAGUAACACGUGGAUAACCUACCUAUAAGACUGGGAUAACUUCGGGACACCGGAGCUAAUACCGGAUAAUAUAUUGAACCGCAUGGUUCAAUAGUGAAAUACGGUUUUGCUGUAUCUUAUAGCUGGAUCCGCGCCGCAUUAGCUAGUUGGUAAGGUAAAGGCUUACGAAGGCAACGAGGCGUAGCCGACCGCAGAGGGGGGUCGGCCACACUGGAACUGAACCAGCGUCCAGGCUCCUACGAGACGCCGCAGUAGGGAAUCGUCCGCAAUAGGCGAGAAUCUGACAGAGCAAGGGCGCGUGAGUGGUAAAGGCGUUCGGUUCGGGAUACUCUGUUUUGGGGGGAAAACAAAUGUGGAAGUAGAUGAACACGUAUUGACGGUACCGAGUCAGAAAGCCACGGCUAACUACGUG